UUACAGCGAGAGGUAUCCCUACUGUCCAGUCUGUCCAUAGUGAUUACAGCGAGAGGUAUCCCUACUGUCCAGUCUGUCCAUAGUGAUUACAGUGAGAGGUAUCCCUACUGUCCAGCCUGUCCAUAGUGAUUACAGUGAGAGGUAUCCCUACUGUCCAGUCUGUCCAUAGUGAUUACAGCGAGAGGUAUCCCUACUGUCCAGUCUGUCCAUAGUGAUAACAGCGAGAGGCAUCCCUACUGUCCAGUCUGUCCAUAGUGAUAACAGCGAGAGGCAUCCCUACUGUCCAGUCUGUCCAUAGUGAUAACAGCGAGAGGUAUCCCUACUGUCCAGUCUGUCCAUAGUGAUUACAGCGAGAGGUAUCCCUACUGUCCAGUCUGUCCAUAGUGAUAACAGCGAGAGGCAUCCCUACUGUCCAGUCUGUCCAUAGUGAUUACAGCGAGAG
Oncorhynchus tshawytscha (Chinook salmon) is the source of this 442-nucleotide long non-coding RNA. The record is from Ensembl. NCBI's taxonomy places the organism in Eukaryota, Metazoa, Chordata, Actinopteri, Salmoniformes, Salmonidae.